Long non-coding RNA from Cavia porcellus (domestic guinea pig), 949 nucleotides. RefSeq lists it as uncharacterized. The transcript is spliced from 3 exons. NCBI's taxonomy places the organism in Eukaryota, Metazoa, Chordata, Mammalia, Rodentia, Caviidae. The record is from RefSeq and is a predicted model, not a curated record.
UUGUAAUUCCUUCCUAUAUUGUUCAUUCAAGGUUUCCAACAUUUUCCUAUGCUCUUUUUAUCUAUCUUUUUUAUUUAGAUAUGCUCAGCAAUUUUUUCACUAUGUUUGUGAUUUCUUCUUUUACUGGAAAUAUUAUUUCUGUUUGAUUACUUUGCAGCCUCAUGAAGUUGUUUCUUUGCUUCAGUUACUCUUCUUUCAGAGAUCUCAGAAGAACAGCACAAAGUAUGUGUUUAAUGAAUAUCUUGGUGAAUAUAUAAAUGCAAUGGGAUACUAAGGAUGAAACAACUGAGUUUUCAUGGCAUGAUCUCAACCACAUGGAAGAAGGAAGAAAUGUGCCUGGCAAGCAAUCAGGCCAGCAUGUAAAAGGUGCUUUUGUUGCCUGUACAAAGAAGCUUCCAAAGCCCGGGAUUACUGGAGAGCAGACAUGUUCAAAUCAAGCUAUGAUGGUCUAAGCAAAACAACUCCAUCAAACAUCUCACUAGCCACUCUCUUGGGAACAUAGAGCUUUAGGCAAGGGAAAGGGAGACUAGACAUCUGUCCCCAACGGAAAAAUUAACCACAGACCUGGAGUGGCUCAGACAAAAGGACCAAGAGAAAAAAAAAAGCAGUAAUUGGAGAGAAGAUCCUGCUUCCAACCUGUCACUGGUUUUACAAGGUACAUCUAUUCCUGGAGGAAAGGGAGACAGCAGCGCAUAAUAAAAACUGGGACACGGUGAGGCUGUGCCAGGUGUGUCUCCUGCAGGACUCGGCUCUGAUGCCAGUCCUUCCAGGAAUACACUCUGCCCCCUGCUCCCUGCUUGCCCAGAGACUAAUCUGGAUCAAGUGACCGGCCUGAGACUGGUCAGCGUCCGGAGACGCCUCACUCAUUCACUCACUCACUGGUUCUGGAGCACCAAACAUGCCGCAAGUAAUGGGACAAAAAGUAAAUAAAGCAUAGUGCCACUUACUA